This is a long non-coding RNA of Clupea harengus (Atlantic herring), 1038 nucleotides long. The record is from Ensembl. Lineage: Eukaryota; Metazoa; Chordata; Actinopteri; Clupeiformes; Clupeidae.
AACCGACCCUCUCCAGACAUUAACAUGAUGGAUGGGCUUCCUCUGUCGGCUUGGGGUGUCCAGACCCUGUAAAACCUCUAUGUGCUCCACCACUGGCUAAUCAAGCACACUUUGUGCAGAUGUAGAGUCUGUCAUUUUCACCUCAGUAGUCUCUCUCUCUCUCUCUCUCUCUCUCUCUCUCUCUCUCUCGCCUCCUCGUCUGUUUUUAUGCGCGCUCCACAUACAUUUGUAAAUAAGGUCACCGGUUCCCCCGAAGAGAGGCGUGAUUUCACCGGCCGAUUUUCGGUAAUUUACGGUUCAGGCUGUGAGGCCCCGUGUGCCGAGGCCCUAAAAAACUGCAGGCCUUUGCACUCUGGGUGUUUUCAUCUGAGGUUGCCUUGGCCCGCAGAUGCUACCCAGGCUGGUCGUGUCGAGGACUGACCUCUGCCAACCUAAAUAUUCUCACUCUGAAACUGUACCCAGAGCCUGCCACCAAAUCCCACCGCUCCCCAACUCGCUACAUAGAGAGUUGUUUUCUUUUUUUCUUUCUGUUUUCUCAUUUUUAUUUAUUUAUUUAUUUAUUUCAUUAUGUUUUGUUUUUCCUUCUUAUUUUUUAUUUUUUUUUAACGGCCUUGUGAUGUUUCGAAGCGUAGGUUUCCCAGUUCCCGGCUUGGCCAGAGUCGAUUUCAGCUGUGUUGUCAUGCAGCUCUCGCGCGGCGGCGCCUCCCUGAAAGUGCCACAUUUUUUAAAAUGCACAAGCAGGGCUUUAUGUUUACAUACACACAUUUUUAAAUGUUAUUGCAGAGCUGUGCCAGCUUCAAGAAUGCCAUGCGAAACCAAAAGAGCCAAGUUCAUAUUUUCUUAUGGAGAGAAGAGGGUUCAUUAAGAACCCCACAUAUUAAACUGUCGCAGGCUGUCAGGAGAAGUAAUGACGUGUCCAAGGCCGGCAGGCAGCUCUGUCUUACUGCUGUUAUUGUUUCAUCACUUUUAAGUCAUCACAUCAUGAAUUUAGAUAUGGACUAGCUUAACAGUUACAUGGUAUAAAUAGGUGUGUCCAUC